RNAcentral lists this ribosomal RNA (1366 nucleotides) under metagenome. RNAcentral describes it as "bacterial LSU rRNA". It matches the Rfam family "Bacterial large subunit ribosomal RNA", at positions 1578 to 2925 of the family's 2925-position model. The record is from RNAcentral.
CUAUUAGGUGAAGUCAAUGAUCCCAUGCUGCCAAGAAAAGCCUCUAGCGAGCUUCGAGCGGCCCGUACCCCAAACCGACACAGGUGGUCAGGUAGAGAAUACCGAGGCGAUCGGGCGAACUGUGGUUAAGGAACUCGGCAAAUUACCCCCGUAACUUCGGGAGAAGGGGGGCCACAGACUGUCAUACCCCACGCGGGUGGCAGCAGUAGGUGGCCGCAGAGACCAGGGGGAAGCGACUGUUUACUAAAAACACAGGUCCGUGCGAAGUCGUAAGACGAUGUAUACGGACUGACGCCUGCCCGGUGCUGGAACGUUAAGGGGACCGGUUAGUCCGCAAGGGCGAAGCUGAGAACUUAAGCGCCAGUAAACGGCGGUGGUAACUAUAACCAUCCUAAGGUAGCGAAAUUCCUUGUCGGGUAAGUUCCGACCUGCACGAAUGGCGUAACGACUUCCCUACUGUCUCAACCACAGGCCCGGCGAAAUUGCACUACGAGUAAAGAUGCUCGUUACGCGCGGAAGGACGGAAAGACCCCGGGACCUUCACUAUAGCUUGACAUUGGUAUCCGAAUUUAAUUGUGUAGGAUAGGUGGGAGGCUUUGAUCCGCGGACGCCAGUCCGUCGGGGAGCCAACGUUGAAAUACCACUCUGUUGACUUUGGGUAUCUAACUUCGGACCGUGAUCCGGUUCAGGGACAGUGUCUGGUGGGUAGUUUAACUGGGGCGGUUGCCUCCUAAAAUGUAACGGAGGCGCCCAAAGGUUCCCUCAGCCUGGUUGGCAAUCAGGUGUUGAGUGCAAGUGCACAAGGGAGCUUGACUGUGAGACUGACAGGUCGAGCAGGGACGAAAGUCGGGACUAGUGAUCCGGCACCUGCGAGUGGAAGCGGUGUCGCUCAACGGAUAAAAGGUACCCCGGGGAUAACAGGCUGAUCUUCCCCAAGAGUCCAUAUCGACGGGAUGGUUUGGCACCUCGAUGUCGGCUCGUCGCAUCCUGGGGCUGGAGUAGGUCCCAAGGGUUGGGCUGUUCGCCCAUUAAAGCGGCACGCGAGCUGGGUUUAGAACGUCGUGAGACAGUUCGGUCCCUAUCCUCCGCGCGCGUAGGAGACUUGAGAAGAGCUGUCCCUAGUACGAGAGGACCGGGACGGACGAACCUCUGGUGUGCCAGUUGUCAUGCCAAUGGCACGGCUGGUUAGCUACGUUCGGAAGGGAUAACCGCUGAAAGCAUCUAAGCGGGAAGCUCGCUUCAAGAUGAGGUCUCCCACCCCUUAGAGGGUUAAGGCCCCCAGCUAGACCACUGGGUUGAUAGGCCAGAAGUGUAAGCCUGGUAACAGGUUCAGCCGACUGGUACUAAUAGGCCGAGGACUUCACCA